Molecule: long non-coding RNA, 620 nt
Organism: Ictalurus furcatus (blue catfish)
Lineage: Eukaryota; Metazoa; Chordata; Actinopteri; Siluriformes; Ictaluridae
Exons: 3
Source: RefSeq, a predicted model, not a curated record
UGGCUGUGAAAAUGUCCACAAUGCUCCUGCGCCACUGCAUCAUCACCAAAACAGUGACUUACACACUAAGUAGGCUACAGCUGACAAGUUUUUAAACCGGACACAGAUCAGCUGAGGUUAGAGAUGAUGACGAGGAUGGACGAGGCUCAGGUUCUUUAACCUCAGUCACCUCAGCGAUUUCCUCCUCAGGGAAAAGGGAAAGCUGUUUCAUCCUUAUUUCCAGUACUUGUGAGCAGAAAUAGACACAUGUACAAACUCCAAUCUCAUCACUCCUGUGGGAAGCUGAGUGUGAGACACGGAGAUAACAGAGGUCCAGUUUGUCUGGCUCACCCAGACUCAGGGGUACAGCACUGAGUGUCUGCUGGAAAAGUGUAGGCUGGCUCCUGCUUUUAUACACCUGUUUCAUCGAGUAGGUGGAUACUUUCCAGUUCAAGUGCAACACAUAAUAGCUCGCUUCAGCUGAGUAUUGUGUUUUUAGCUGAAAAAUAUCAUUUCCCUUCUGAUAAUAGUCUCAUAACCACACAGACACCCAUCUUUCAUGUAGACCUUGGCUUCUUUCAUGUAUUAUUCACAAUUCAUACAAAUUCAUGUCAUAUUCUGAAAGACUACACAAUGCAGUC